Small nucleolar RNA from Molossus molossus (Pallas's mastiff bat), 130 nucleotides. RefSeq annotates it as small nucleolar RNA SNORA24. The record is from RefSeq and is a predicted model, not a curated record. Lineage: Eukaryota; Metazoa; Chordata; Mammalia; Chiroptera; Molossidae. The transcript has a single exon.
CUCCACGUGACGUUGGGACCUGCGGCUGAGGCAGUCUGUCUUCCGGGCCAUGGAAGAGCAUUUCCCUGUUUAUUGGCAAAGCUGUCAUUAUUCAAUUGGUAUCAGGUUCUGACUUGCACAAGUAACAUUC